This 468-nucleotide ribosomal RNA is filed under the name uncultured bacterium. RNAcentral's name for it is "partial 16S ribosomal RNA". It matches the Rfam family "Bacterial small subunit ribosomal RNA", at positions 28 to 507 of the family's 1533-position model. The record is from RNAcentral.
GACGAACGCUGGCGGCGUGCUUAACACAUGCAAGUCGAACGGAAAGGCCCUGCUUUUGUGGGGUGCUCGAGUGGCGAACGGGUGAGUAACACGUGAGUAACCUGCCCUUGACUUUGGGAUAACUUCAGGAAACUGGGGCUAAUACCGGAUAGGAGCUCCUGCUGCAUGGUGGGGGUUGGAAAGUUUCGGCGGUUGGGGAUGGACUCGCGGCUUAUCAGCUUGUUGGUGGGGUAGUGGCUUACCAAGGCUUUGACGGGUAGCCGGCCUGAGAGGGUGACCGGCCACAUUGGGACUGAGAUACGGACCAGACUCCUACGGGAGGCAGCAGUGGGGAAUCUUGCACAAUGGGCGGAAGUCUGAUGCAGCAACGCCGCGUGCGGGAUGACGGCCUUCGGGUUGUAAACCGCUUUCGCCUGUGACGAAGCGUGAGUGACGGUAAUGGGUAAAGAAGCACCGGCUAACUACGUG